Molecule: ribosomal RNA, 319 nt
Filed under: uncultured archaeon
Lineage: Archaea
Description: bacterial SSU rRNA
Rfam family: Archaeal small subunit ribosomal RNA
Source: RNAcentral
GGUUAAGUCAGGCAACGAGCGAGACCCGUACCCUUAUUUGUCAGCUGAUCCCUACGGGGAUCAAGACCCAUUAGGGGGACCGCUGCUGAUAAAGCAGAGGAAGGAGCGAGCAACGAUAGGUCAGUAUGCCCCGAAUCUUCCAGGCUACACGCGGACUGCAAUGGCUAGUACAAUGGGCCCCAACUCCGAAAGGAGAAGGAAAUCCCGAAAGCUAGUCUUAGUUCGGAUUGUGGGCUGUAAUUCGCCCACAUGAAGCCGGAAUCCCUAGUAAUCGCGUCUCACUAUGGCGCGGUGAAUACGUCCCUGCUCCUUGCACAAA